Non-coding RNA from Heterorhabditis bacteriophora, 120 nucleotides. NCBI's taxonomy places the organism in Eukaryota, Metazoa, Nematoda, Chromadorea, Rhabditida, Heterorhabditidae. The record is from Rfam.
AUUGUAAAGACAACAUAUUUCCAGGUUCCUAGAACAUACCUUGGUAUGAUCGUAGGCUCUCUUUGUGCCUUAAUGGGAGUACUAACUAUAGCCUUGCCAGUCCCAGUUAUUGUGUCCAAU